UACGUAGGUGGCAAGCGUUGUCCGGAUUUAUUGGGUUUAAAGGGUGCGUAGGCGGUCCCAUAAGUCAGUGGUGAAAUACUCUAGCUUAACUAGAGGGGUGCCAUUGAUACUGCGGGACUUGAGUGGAGUUGAAGUGGGCGGAAUUGACGGUGUAGCGGUGAAAUGCUUAGAUAUCGUCAAGAACACCGAUAGUGAAGACAGCUCACUAAGCUCAAACUGACGCUGAGGCACGAGAGUGUGGGGAUCAAACAGG
This 253-nucleotide ribosomal RNA is filed under the name uncultured bacterium. RNAcentral describes it as "partial 16S ribosomal RNA". It matches the Rfam family "Bacterial small subunit ribosomal RNA", at positions 524 to 776 of the family's 1533-position model. The record is from RNAcentral.